UACGUAGGGUGCGAGCGUUAAUCGGAAUUACUGGGCGUAAAGGGUGCGCAGGCGGUUGUAUAAGUCAGCUGUGAAAUCCCCGGGCUUAACCUGGGAAUGGCAGUUGAGACUGUACGGCUAGAGUGUGUCAGAGGGGGGUAGAAUUCCACGUGUAGCAGUGAAAUGCGUAGAGAUGUGGAGGAAUACCGAUGGCGAAGGCAGCCCCCUGGGAUAACACUGACGCUCAGGCACGAAAGCGUGGGGAGCAAACAGG
RNAcentral lists this ribosomal RNA (253 nucleotides) under uncultured bacterium. RNAcentral's name for it is "partial 16S ribosomal RNA". It matches the Rfam family "Bacterial small subunit ribosomal RNA", at positions 524 to 776 of the family's 1533-position model. The record is from RNAcentral.